UACGUAGGUGGCAAGCGUUGCCCGGAUUUAUUGGGCUUAAAGGGUGCGUAGGCGGCCCUGUAAGUCAGUGCUGAAAUAUCCCAGCUUAACUGGGAGGGUGGCAUUGAUACUGCGGGGCUAGAGUACAGAUGAGGUAGGCGGAAUUGACGGUGUAGCGGUGAAAUGCUUAGAUAUCGUCAAGAACACCUAUAGCGAAGGCAGCUUACUAGGCUGUAACUGACGCUGAGGCACGAAAGUGUGGGGAUCAAACAGG
RNAcentral lists this ribosomal RNA (253 nucleotides) under uncultured bacterium. RNAcentral describes it as "partial 16S ribosomal RNA". It matches the Rfam family "Bacterial small subunit ribosomal RNA", at positions 524 to 776 of the family's 1533-position model. The record is from RNAcentral.